Molecule: transfer RNA, 76 nt
Filed under: Fusibacter paucivorans
Lineage: Bacteria; Bacillati; Bacillota; Clostridia; Eubacteriales; Fusibacteraceae
Description: tRNA-His
Rfam family: tRNA
About the family: Transfer RNA (tRNA) molecules are approximately 80 nucleotides in length.
Source: RNAcentral
GCGACUGUCGUCAAGCGGUUAAGACUCAGGAUUGUGGCUCCUGCAUACGUGGGUUCGAAUCCCAUCAGUCGCCCCA